UACGUAGGGGGGCAAGCGUUUGUCCGGAUUUAUUGGGCGUAAAGCGCUCGCAGGUGGUUCGUCGCGUCGUGCGUGAAAGACCCCGGCUCAACUGGGGGAGGUCGUGCGAUACUGAUCGACUGGAAGGCAGGAGAGGGUAGUGGAAUUCCCGGUGUAGUGGUGAAAUGCGUAGAUAUCGGGAGGAACACCAGUGGCGAAGGCGACUACCUGGCCUGUUCUUGACGCUGAGGCGCGAAAGCUAGGGGAGCAAACGGG
This 255-nucleotide ribosomal RNA is filed under the name uncultured bacterium. RNAcentral describes it as "partial 16S ribosomal RNA". It matches the Rfam family "Bacterial small subunit ribosomal RNA", at positions 524 to 776 of the family's 1533-position model. The record is from RNAcentral.